RNAcentral lists this ribosomal RNA (252 nucleotides) under Triticum aestivum (bread wheat). Its description in RNAcentral is "partial small subunit ribosomal RNA". The record is from RNAcentral. Lineage: Eukaryota; Viridiplantae; Streptophyta; Magnoliopsida; Poales; Poaceae.
AUGGAGGUGGUGAAUGCGUUGAGCCAAGGCUACUCAUCUUUAGUCGCUUCAUCCAUUAUAGAUUACUGUUACUUUAUGUCAUUAGGUUUUCCCCAUGUCAUUUAUGAUCAUUGUAAUAGGGAAAGUAAUCGAGUAGCUCAUGAACUAGCAAGGUUGGCUAGGUUUUCUUAUCCGAGUGUUUGGAUGGAUAACGCCCCUGAUGAGGUUAUCCUUUUACUUGUAAAUGAUGCUACUUUACUUAUGAAUGAAUAA